GCGGAUGUAACCAAGUGGAUCAAGGUAGUGGAUUGUGAAUCCACCAUGCGCGGGUUCAAUUCCCGUCGUUCGCC
This 74-nucleotide transfer RNA is filed under the name Abrus precatorius (Indian licorice). It matches the Rfam family "tRNA". Rfam says of the family: Transfer RNA (tRNA) molecules are approximately 80 nucleotides in length. RNAcentral also lists the same sequence under 1 other name. Lineage: Eukaryota; Viridiplantae; Streptophyta; Magnoliopsida; Fabales; Fabaceae. The record is from Rfam by way of RNAcentral.